RNAcentral lists this ribosomal RNA (253 nucleotides) under uncultured bacterium. RNAcentral's name for it is "partial 16S ribosomal RNA". It matches the Rfam family "Bacterial small subunit ribosomal RNA", at positions 524 to 776 of the family's 1533-position model. The record is from RNAcentral.
UACAGAGGUCCCAAGCGUUGUUCGGAUUCACUGGGCGUAAAGGGUGCGUAGGUGGCUUGGUAAGCGUGUGGUGAAAGCCUGGGGCUCAACCCCAGGUCUGCCGUGCGAACUGCCAAGCUUGAGCAUAGUAGAGGCAGGUGGAAUUUCGGGUGUAGCGGUGGAAUGCGUAGAUAUCCGAAAGAACACCGGUGGCGAAGGCGGCCUGCUGGGCUAUUGCUGACACUGAGGCGCGACAGCGUGGGGAGCAAACAGG